UACAGAGGGGGCAAGCGUUGUUCGGAAUUACUGGGCGUAAAGGGCGCGUAGGCGGCCUGUUAAGUCGGACGUGAAAUCCCUCGGCUCAACCGGGGGACUGCGUCCGAUACUGGCGGGCUUGAAUUCGGGAGAGGGUUGUGGAAUUCCAGGUGUAGCGGUGAAAUGCGUAGAUAUCUGGAGGAACACCGGUGGCGAAGGCGGCAUCCUGGACCGACAUUGACGCUGAGGCGCGAAAGCCAGGGGAGCAAACGGG
RNAcentral lists this ribosomal RNA (253 nucleotides) under uncultured bacterium. Its description in RNAcentral is "partial 16S ribosomal RNA". It matches the Rfam family "Bacterial small subunit ribosomal RNA", at positions 524 to 776 of the family's 1533-position model. The record is from RNAcentral.